This 477-nucleotide ribosomal RNA is filed under the name uncultured bacterium. RNAcentral's name for it is "partial 16S ribosomal RNA". It matches the Rfam family "Bacterial small subunit ribosomal RNA", at positions 28 to 507 of the family's 1533-position model. The record is from RNAcentral.
GAUUAACGCUGGCGGCGUGCAUAACACAUGCAAGUCGAACGAUGAAACUUUUUUGAUUUCUUCGGAAUGAUUAAAAGUGGAUUAGUGGCGGACGGGUGAGUAACGCGUGAGUAACCUGCCUUAGAGAAGGGGAUAGCCUUUGGAAACGAAGAAUAAUACCCUAUGAAACCAUAACCUCGCAUGAGGAAUUGGUCAAAGAUUUAUCGCUCUAAGAUGGACUUGCGUCUGAUUAGUUAGUUGGUGGGGUAACGGCCCACCAAGACAGCGAUCAGUAGCCGGCUUGAGAGAGUGUACGGCCACAUUGGGACUGAGACACGGCCCAGACUCCUACGGGAGGCAGCAGUGGGGAAUUUUGCACAAUGGGGGAAACCCUGAUGCAGCGACGCCGCGUGAUUUAGAAGGCCUUCGGGUUGUAAAAAUCUUUUCUAUGGGAAGAAAAUGACAGUACCAUAGGAAUAAGAACCGGCUAAUUACGUG